AUACGGAGGAUCCGAGCGUUAUCCGGAUUUAUUGGGUUUAAAGGGUGCGCAGGCGGCCAUUUAAGUCAGCGGUUAAAUCGUGGGGCUCAACCCCAUUCUGCCGUUGAUACUGGGUGGCUUGAUUGCGGUCGAGGUUGGCGGAAUUCGUUGUGUAGCGGUGAAAUGCAUAGAUAUGACGAAGAACACCGAUUGCGUAGGCAGCUGACCAGACCGCAAAUGACGCUCAUGCACGAAAGUGCGGGGAUCGAACAGGAUUAGAUACCCUGGUAGUCCGCACAGUAAACGAUGAAUACUUGUUUUCGGCGAUAUAAUGUCGGAGGCAAAGCGAAAGCGAUAAGUAUUCCACCUGGGGAGUACGCCGGCAACGGUGAAACUUAAAGGAAUUGA
This 387-nucleotide ribosomal RNA is filed under the name uncultured bacterium. Its description in RNAcentral is "partial 16S ribosomal RNA". It matches the Rfam family "Bacterial small subunit ribosomal RNA", at positions 523 to 913 of the family's 1533-position model. The record is from RNAcentral.